This 109-nucleotide ribosomal RNA is filed under the name Callithrix jacchus (white-tufted-ear marmoset). The record is from RNAcentral. Lineage: Eukaryota; Metazoa; Chordata; Mammalia; Primates; Cebidae.
GUCUAUGGCCAUACCACCCUGAACGCGCCUGAUCUCGUCAAAUCUUGGAAGCAAAGCAGGGUCAGGCCUGGUUAGUACUUGGAUGGGAGAGAUAACAGUACCAUUACCA